Molecule: transfer RNA, 72 nt
Filed under: Elusimicrobiota bacterium
Lineage: Bacteria; Pseudomonadati; Elusimicrobiota
Description: Elusimicrobia bacterium tRNA-Val
Rfam family: tRNA
About the family: Transfer RNA (tRNA) molecules are approximately 80 nucleotides in length. Their secondary structure includes four short double-helical elements and three loops (D, anti-codon, and T loops).
Source: RNAcentral
GGGCGAUUAGCUCAGCGGAAGAGCACUGCCCUUACAAGGCAGGGGUCGCAGGUUCGAGCCCUGCAUCGCCCA